RNAcentral lists this ribosomal RNA (708 nucleotides) under Bacillus sp. FJAT-22502. RNAcentral's name for it is "bacterial SSU rRNA". It matches the Rfam family "Bacterial small subunit ribosomal RNA", at positions 70 to 763 of the family's 1533-position model. The record is from RNAcentral. Lineage: Bacteria; Bacillati; Bacillota; Bacilli; Caryophanales; Bacillaceae.
CUGAGGGAGCUUGCUCCCAAAGAUUAGCGGCGGACGGGUGAGUAACACGUGGGCAACCUGCCUGUAAGACUGGGAUAACUUCGGGAAACCGGAGCUAAUACCGGAUAAUGCUUUUGAACUCAUGUUCGAAAGCUGAAAGAUGGUUUCGGCUAUCACUUACAGAUGGGCCCGCGGCGCAUUAGCUAGUUGGUGAGGUAACGGCUCACCAAGGCGACGAUGCGUAGCCGACCUGAGAGGGUGAUCGGCCACACUGGGACUGAGACACGGCCCAGACUCCUACGGGAGGCAGCAGUAGGGAAUCUUCCGCAAUGGACGAAAGUCUGACGGAGCAACGCCGCGUGAGUGAUGAAGGUUUUCGGAUCGUAAAACUCUGUUGUUAGGGAAGAACAAGUACCGGAGUAACUGCCGGUACCUUGACGGUACCUAACCAGAAAGCCACGGCUAACUACGUGCCAGCAGCCGCGGUAAUACGUAGGUGGCAAGCGUUGUCCGGAAUUAUUGGGCGUAAAGCGCGCGCAGGCGGUUCCUUAAGUCUGAUGUGAAAGCCCACGGCUCAACCGUGGAGGGUCAUUGGAAACUGGGGAACUUGAGUGCAGAAGAGAAGAGCGGAAUUCCACGUGUAGCGGUGAAAUGCGUAGAGAUGUGGAGGAACACCAGUGGCGAAGGCGGCUCUUUGGUCUGUAACUGACGCUGAGGCGCGAAAGCGUG